GUGGGGAAUCUUGCGCAAUGGGCGAAAGCCUGACGCAGCCAUGCCGCGUGAAUGAUGAAGGUCUUAGGAUUGUAAAAUUCUUUCACCGGGGACGAUAAUGACGGUACCCGGAGAAGAAGCUCCGGCUAACUUCGUGCCAGCAGCCGCGGUAAUACGAAGGGGGCUAGCGUUGCUCGGAAUUAUUGGGCGUAAAGGGCGCGUAGGCGGACAGCUUAGUCAGAGGUGAAAGCCCAGGGCUCAACCUUGGAAUUGCCUUUGAUACUGGCUGUCUUGAGUGUGGGAGAGGUGAGUGGAACUCCGAGUGUAGAGGUGAAAUUCGUAGAUAUUCGGAAGAACACCAGUGGCGAAGGCGACUCACUGGCCCAAUACUGACGCUGAGGCGCGAAAGCGUGGGGAGCAAACAGGAUUAGAAACCCCUGUAGUCC
This 425-nucleotide ribosomal RNA is filed under the name uncultured bacterium. RNAcentral's name for it is "partial 16S ribosomal RNA". It matches the Rfam family "Bacterial small subunit ribosomal RNA", at positions 354 to 796 of the family's 1533-position model. The record is from RNAcentral.